This 494-nucleotide ribosomal RNA is filed under the name uncultured bacterium. Its description in RNAcentral is "bacterial SSU rRNA". It matches the Rfam family "Bacterial small subunit ribosomal RNA", at positions 29 to 512 of the family's 1533-position model. The record is from RNAcentral.
AGUGAACGCUGGCGGCAGGCCUAAUACAUGCAAGUCGAACGGCAGCACAGCAGAGCUUGCUCUGUGGGUGGCGAGUGGCGGACGGGUGAGGAAUACAUGGGAAUCUGCCCAGUCGUGGGGGAUAACGUAGGGAAACUUACGCUAAUACCGCAUGCGCCCUUCGGGGGAAAGCCGGGGACCUUCGGGCCUGGCGCGAUUGGAUGAGCCCAUGUCGGAUUAGCUAGUUGGCGGGGUAAUGGCCCACCAAGGCGACGAUCCGUAGCUGGUCUGAGAGGAUGAUCAGCCACACUGGAACUGAGACACGGUCCAGACUCCUACGGGAGGCAGCAGUAGGGAAUAUUGGACAAUGGGCGCAAGCCUGAUCCAGCCAUGCCGCGUGAGUGAAGAAGGCCCUCGGGUUGUAAAGCUCUUUUGUCCGGAAGAAAAGCGCCGGGUUAAUACCCUAGUGUCCUGACGGUACCGGAAGAAUAAGCACCGGCUAACUUCGUGCCAGC